Molecule: long non-coding RNA, 900 nt
Organism: Argentina anserina (silverweed cinquefoil)
Lineage: Eukaryota; Viridiplantae; Streptophyta; Magnoliopsida; Rosales; Rosaceae
Exons: 3
Source: RefSeq, a predicted model, not a curated record
AAAAGCUAAAGGAGACGACUGUGCGACAACUCCUCUCUAAAUUUUGGUUUCUGCCGAAGCUUUGCCCCCGGUUGAUAACUAUCAGAUUCCACCUUCUCCAAUUUUGGAAGGAAUCAAAGAUUCAGCAGAUUUCUGUCCCAAGUUGAAGGAAAAGGUUGCUACAUCCAGAAGGCAUAGUAGAAGCAGCAGUAGUACCCAUAGUGACGUGCACUUCAAACGUCAAAAGAGGGACGAUGCUGAUCUUGGACCUAUUUACUUCAACCCUAAUGCCGACUUUGAUCUUGGCGGCAAUUUUCUUGGGGAUGUUCCUGGUCCUUCAAAACUCGUGCCUGCGCAUGUUGAGCUCGAAGAUAUCGGUUAUUUUGAUGAAGUCUGCUCAAGUGACGGCGUUCGAUUUCCUUUUGAGGAGUGUGUAGCUAACAUUUUCCCAGAUUAGGAUGUACAUCGAAAGGAGAGUGAACCAUAGCAAGUUGACCAGAGAGGUUUGUCCAUGGCUACGGGAAGUACAAAAUCUUCUGAAAAAGCAAUAUUUCCUGAAGCUUAUGUGUGCGAUAUUGAGGUAGCGGAUACAAGUCAAUGGCUUCGUGAUAUCCGCGUGCGAGCAGCUACGGAAGUUUGUGCAAAGAUAGAAGGUGUGAUAGCGACGUAUUCUCUAAAGAUGAUUAUUGCUUGGAGGAAUGAGCUUGAUAUGUUGACGAAUGAACUUAGCAAAUAUGGAGUCGACCUAUCAACAGUAAAAAAAAAUUGGAGCAGUUGAUGACAAGCGCUACCCUAUAUGACUCGGCAAGGCUUGCAUGCGCUCACAAAUGCGCCAUGGGCACCAGCGCCCAAAAAUUGGCAGAGACGGAGUCUGAAAUCACGACAGCCCAAGAAAUCCGACAAAAUAGUUUUGAUCGGCGU